RNAcentral lists this non-coding RNA (58 nucleotides) under human gut metagenome. RNAcentral describes it as "pemK RNA". It matches the Rfam family "pemK RNA", at positions 2 to 55 of the family's 61-position model. The record is from RNAcentral.
UAAAGAUACUUCCGUACCGAAAGGGCGGCUCGGUGAGAACCACGGAGAGCUGAGAUGC